RNAcentral lists this ribosomal RNA (198 nucleotides) under uncultured bacterium. RNAcentral's name for it is "partial 16S ribosomal RNA". It matches the Rfam family "Bacterial small subunit ribosomal RNA", at positions 335 to 525 of the family's 1533-position model. The record is from RNAcentral.
ACUCCUACGGGAGGCAGCAGUGGGGAAUCUUGCGCAAUGGGCGAAAGCCUGACGCAGCAACGCCGCGUGGGGGAUGAAGGCUCUCGGGUUGUAAACCGCUUUUGUCAGGGAAGAAAUCUUCUGGGUUAAUACCUCGGGAGGAUGAUGGUACCUGAAGAAUAAGCACCGGCUAACUACGUGCCAGCAGCCGCGGUAAUG